RNAcentral lists this ribosomal RNA (253 nucleotides) under uncultured bacterium. RNAcentral describes it as "partial 16S ribosomal RNA". It matches the Rfam family "Bacterial small subunit ribosomal RNA", at positions 524 to 776 of the family's 1533-position model. The record is from RNAcentral.
CACGUAGGGCGCGAGCGUUGUCCGGAAUUAUUGGGCGUAAAGAGCUCGUAGGCGGCCUGUUGCGUCCGCUGUGAAAGCCCGGGGCUUAACCCCGGGUCUGCAGUGGAUACGGGCAGGCUAGAGGUAGGUAGGGGAGAAUGGAAUUCCCGGUGUAGCGGUGAAAUGCGCAGAUAUCGGGAGGAACACCAGAGGCGAAAGCGGCGACCUGGACAGGUACUGACACUCAACUGCGAAAGCGUGGGGAGCAAACAGG